UACGAAGGGGGCUAGCGUUGCUCGGAAUUACUGGGCGUAAAGGGCGCGUAGGCGGAUAGUUUAGUCAGAGGUGAAAGCCCAGGGCUCAACCUUGGAAUUGCCUUUGAUACUGGUUAUCUUGAGUUCGGGAGAGGUGAGUGGAAUGCCGAGUGUAGAGGUGUAAUUCGUAGAUAUUCGGCGGAACACCAGUGGCGAAGGCGACUCACUGGCCCGAUACUGACGCUGAGGCGCGAAAGCGUGGGGAGCAAACAGG
This 253-nucleotide ribosomal RNA is filed under the name uncultured bacterium. RNAcentral describes it as "partial 16S ribosomal RNA". It matches the Rfam family "Bacterial small subunit ribosomal RNA", at positions 524 to 776 of the family's 1533-position model. The record is from RNAcentral.